Molecule: ribosomal RNA, 494 nt
Filed under: uncultured bacterium
Lineage: Bacteria
Description: partial 16S ribosomal RNA
Rfam family: Bacterial small subunit ribosomal RNA
Source: RNAcentral
GACGAACGCUGGCGGCGUGCUUAACACAUGCAAGUCGAACGGUGAAGCGCCUUCCUUUUUGGUGGGUGUGGAUGAGUGGCGAACGGGUGAGUAACACGUGAGUAACCUGCCCCCUUCUUCUGGAUAACCGGAUGAAAGUGUGGCUAAUACGGGAUAUUCUGGGUCUGUCGCAUGAUGGGUCUGGGAAAGAUAUUGUUUCGGUGGGGGAUGGGCUCGCGGCCUAUCAGCUUGUUGGUGGGGUGAUGGCCUACCAAGGCGGUGACGGGUAGCCGGCCUGAGAGGGUGGACGGUCACACUGGGACUGAGACACGGCCCAGACUCCGACGGGAGGCAGCAGUGGGGAAUAUUGCACAAUGGGCGCAAGCCUGAUGCAGCGACGCCGCGGGAGGGAUGGAGGCCUUCGGGUUGUGAACCUCUUUCGCCAGUGAAGCAGGCCUGCCUCGUUUGUGGGUGGGUUGACGGUAGCUGGAUAAGAAGCGCCGGCUAACUACGUG